GAUGAACGCUGGCGGCGUGCCUAAUACAUGCAAGUCGAGCGAACAGAUGAGGAUCUUGCUCCUCUGACGUUAGCGGCGGACGGGUGAGUAACACGUGGAUAACCUACCUAUAAGACUGGGAUAACUUCGGGAAACCGGAGCUAAUACCGGAUAAUAUAUUGAACCGCAUGGUUCAAUAUUGAAAGACGGUUUUGCUGUCACUUAUAGAUGGAUCCGCGCCGCAUUAGCUAGUUGGUAAGGUAACGGCUUACCAAGGCAACGAUGCGUAGCCGACCUGAGAGGGUGAGCGGCCACACUGGAACUGAGACACGGUCCAGACUCCUACGGGAGGCAGUAGUAGGGAAUCUUCCGCAAUGGGCGAAAGCCUGACGGAGCAACGCCGCGUGAGUGAUGAAGGUCUUCGGAUCGUAAAACUCUGUUAUUAGGGAAGAACAAAUGUGUAAGUAACUAUGCACGUCUUGACGGUACCUAAACAGAAAGCCACGGCUAACUACGUG
Molecule: ribosomal RNA, 497 nt
Filed under: uncultured bacterium
Lineage: Bacteria
Description: partial 16S ribosomal RNA
Rfam family: Bacterial small subunit ribosomal RNA
Source: RNAcentral